AAGGGAGACCUAAUUCGGGUAGAAGACGAAAAAAUAGUAGUCGAAACCAAGAAUCAAUCCCAAAAGGUCGGAACGAGGUAUGUGGCUUUCAAACUAGGUUCUGGGUUCACAAAAGACCUGAAUCAGGAACAAGGGCUAUUAGCUCAGGUGGUUAGAGCGCACCCCUGAUAAGGGUGAGGUCCCUGGUUCGAGUCCAGGAUGGCCCACCUGCACAGGUGGCAAAAACAAGAGAAACGAGGAAUCAGCACCUUAUCUUACUUACAUAGUAAGAGAGAAUGCUGGCUCUGAGUAAAGAGUCCAGAGGAACCUUGAAAACUGCAUGGAGCUAGGUGAAAAAGCCAAAAAAGAAGACCGCAA
Molecule: transfer RNA, 357 nt
Filed under: uncultured Microcystis sp.
Lineage: Bacteria; Bacillati; Cyanobacteriota; Cyanophyceae; Chroococcales; Microcystaceae
Description: partial 16S-23S ribosomal RNA intergenic spacer
Rfam family: tRNA (bases 133-206)
Source: RNAcentral